RNAcentral lists this long non-coding RNA (548 nucleotides) under Pan troglodytes (chimpanzee). Its description in RNAcentral is "lincRNA". Lineage: Eukaryota; Metazoa; Chordata; Mammalia; Primates; Hominidae. The record is from RNAcentral.
AUGUCGCUGGUUCUCAGCCACAAUUUGAGUAGCAAGAGCCCUGGACAACUUUCAGGAAGACAGUUCUGGUCUGUAGCAAUUAACACAUGGUCAUCCUCAGAAAAAGGGUAAGGAGGAUGCCACUUGACCUAACAGAAUCUUAUACAUGCCAAUAAUGUGAAGGCUUGAUGGGUGUUUGUACUUAGUCCUCUCAAUUAUUUCCCAGAGAUACCCAUAACUUAAAAUGCAGGAACCAAGAGAUUUGAGCCUAGACAUUUGAAUGAAAAGUGAUUUCCACCUGGAGAAAGUCACUGCCCCUCUGUGCAGAGUACCAUUGUGUCUUGAAUCCAGCUUGGCCACAAGGAAAUGGGGCGAGACUUUGUCAUGUAUGUCGCUGAAGUUCAGCUAUGCAAAAAUGUUCACCUAUCCUUGAUCAACCAGUCCAGGAACCAUCAAAGAAGAAAAUGAGAUUCGACUUAGAAGACCUGUUCUUUAUAAACCCCUGCACAGCCCUAAUGAUCAACACCACUUCCAGUGCUCAUAAAUUACUGCUUCAAUAAUUGUUCUGC